RNAcentral lists this long non-coding RNA (1230 nucleotides) under Oryctolagus cuniculus (rabbit). Its description in RNAcentral is "lncRNA (ENSOCUG00000032216.1)". The record is from RNAcentral. Lineage: Eukaryota; Metazoa; Chordata; Mammalia; Lagomorpha; Leporidae.
UUGGAAUCUGUUGCGUCUCAUUUAUUUCUCAAUGAUACCAUUGCCAAUUUUAGAUCCUAAUCCACUAAUAAGAGUUUAGCAUAACGCACAACUAUAGAAUAUCAGAAGCUUUGGCGAAGAAAACCUGGGGAACUUUCCAAAUUCUUCUGAAGGUAGGAGCUGGAGUGGGUUGGGGUGACAUGAACAGACCCUUGUAUCUUACCAACUUCCUGCUUUCCCCUGGAGGAAGCUGCGCUGUCCCCUUGUGAAGAGAGGACCACUUAGCACUUGAAGGAGAAUCUUCCAGACCCUCUGUUACCCACCUAAUGCUGCUGGCGUCCUCAAUACAAACUCACUCUUACUUAGAGUGUUACCUUUUUAUUCCCUUCCUGUUCCACAUCUGUUUCAAAUAAGAUCCGCCCCUCCUUUAUCUUUGGCUGUAGCUUCUAGAAUUCCACCUCCCCGGGGCAAACCCCAGACCUUCUGUUUAUGGGAAGAGAGCUAAAGCAACGUUCACAGAGACCCUGUUUCUUCUUCAGCUCUGUCUCCAUCUCCUCUCUUGAUUUUGCUGACUACGCUCCUGCUGAUGAAACAUGCCCCUCCCACCCCGGCCGCCACCUCACCUAUCUCUGAAUGACCCAAUGAACACUUAGUGAGUGACGUGACCUGAUAGGGACUUAAAUUGUGAUUUAUCUUUUGACACUUGGUGAGACGACACCAUAAAGUACUUCAUGCUCAGCCUUUCGAGUAGAAACUCACAGGGAGGAAUGGAAGGCAUUGCCAGCAGUCCCUAUGUCUUCCUCUACUCUCCAAGAAAUCCUCCAAGGGGACUUCUUGGUUUCAAGGGCAUUCCUGAAGGCCACUGAGCUUUAGAAAGGGGCAGAACAAUGUGGGUAUAGUGAGGGGAAGGGAGGAGAGAGGAAGAAGACAGAUAGGGCUCUGGGUGGAUCACAGGGGAACCAUUUCUGCAUGUGGUACAUGGUCUGGGAUAUGCUGGGGCUCAUGCUCCGGGAAAGGAUUGUCAAGGUGGUGCUGGGCAAAUGCCCCGAAGUACUGAGUGGACAGGUGGCUCCAUCCCAGCAUGAAGCUCAGGAGGACUCACCAGCCAUUCUGUCCCAUUGUGUCAGUGGGAUUCAUGCAGUCCCUAUACUGGAGGAGCUUUGUCUUCCACCUUCUAGUCACAGUAGUGCAAGUCCCUACAUUUCAAUAUUCUACCAAAUAAUGUCCUAGUUGUGCAACGGCAUGUACCCC